Molecule: ribosomal RNA, 1480 nt
Filed under: uncultured bacterium
Lineage: Bacteria
Description: bacterial SSU rRNA
Rfam family: Bacterial small subunit ribosomal RNA
Source: RNAcentral
AACGAACGCUGGCGGCGUGGCUAAGACAUGCAAGUCGAACGAACUAUUAAUUUAUUAAUAGUUAGUGGCGAAAGGGUUAGUAAUGGAUAGGUAACGUACCCUGUGCUUCGGGAUAGCGUCGUUCGCCUUCGGGCGAACUACCGAAAGGGGCGGUAAUACCGAAUAAUAUCAUUUGCCGAUGGGUAAAUGAACAAAGAUUUAUCGGCGUAGGAGCGGCCUAUCUCUUAUCAGCUUGUUGGUGAGGUAAUGGCUCACCAAGGCAAUGACGGGUAGCGGGACUGAGAGGUUGACCCGCAACAUCGGGACUGAGACACUGCCCGGACCUCCACGGAGGGCUGCAGUAACGAAUAUUGCGCAAUGGGCGAAAGCCUGACGCAGCGACGCCGCGUGCGGGAGGAAGUCUUUCGGGAUGUAAACCGCUGUCAGGGGUAAGAAAGUUCACUUCGGUGGAUUGAUCUAGCCCAGAGGAAGUCACGGCUAACUUCGUGCCAGCAGCCGCGGUAAGACGAAGGUGGCAAGCGUUGUUCGGUAUUACUGGGCUUAAAGCGUGUGUAGGCGGAAAGGUAAGCGUUUUGUGAAAUCCCCCGGCUUAACCGGGGAAUCGCUCGGCGAACUGCUUUUCUUGAGGCAAGUAGGGGUGCACGGAACUCUUGGUGGAGCGGUGGAAUGCGUAGAUAUCAAGAGGAACGCCAGCGGUGAAAACGGUGCACUGGGCUUGUCCUGACGCUGAGAUACGAAAGCGUGGGGAGCGAACGGGAUUAGAUACCCCGGUAGUCCACGCUGUAAACGAUGUCUACUAGGUUGCGGUGGUUCUGACACCGUCGCGGCCGAAGCAAAAGUGUUAAGUAGACCGCCUGGGGAGUACGGCCGCAAGGCUAAAACUCAAAGGAAUUGACGGGGGCUCACACAAGCGGUGGAGCAUGUGGAUUAAUUCGAAGCAACGCGUAGAACCUUACCUGGGUUUGACAUGCCUGGAUGCCACUCCCGAAAGGGGGUUUGGCUGCCCUUCGGGGUGAAACUUGCACAGGUGCUGCAUGGCUGUCGUCAGCUCGUGUCGUGAGAUGUCGGGUUAAGUCCUUUAACGAGCGAAACCCUUGCCGUUAGUUGCCAGCGGGUCAUGCCGGGGACUCUAACGGGACUGCCGGUGUAAAACCGGAGGAAGGUGGGGAUGACGUCAAGUCCUCAUGGCCUUUAUGCCCAGGGCUUCACACGUGCUACAAUGGUGGCCACAGAGCGACGCGAAGCCGCGAGGUGGAGCAAAUCGCAAAAAUGUCGCCUCAGUUCGGAUUGCAGGCUGGCAACUCGCCUGCAUGAAGUUGGAAUCGCUAGUAAUCGCGUAUCAGCUACGACGCGGUGAAUGUGUUCCUGAGCCUUGUACACACCGCCCGUCAAGUGAUGGGAGUUGGGAGUACCCGAAGUCGGUUUGCUAACCUAAUUUAUUAGGAAGCGGCUGCCGACGGUAAGCCCGAUGACUGGCACU